Molecule: ribosomal RNA, 441 nt
Filed under: uncultured bacterium
Lineage: Bacteria
Description: bacterial SSU rRNA
Rfam family: Bacterial small subunit ribosomal RNA
Source: RNAcentral
GCUAAACGCGAAGAACCUUACCUAGGCUUGACAUGCACGGGAAAGUCCUCGGAAACGGGGAUUCUCCUUCGGGAUCCGUGCACAGGUGCUGCAUGGCUGUCGUCAGCUCGUGUCGUGAGAUGUUGGGUUAAGUCCCGCAACGAGCGCAACCCUUGUCCCUAGUUGCCAGCACGUAAUGGUGGGAACUCUAGGGAGACUGCCGGUGACAAACCGGAGGAAGGUGGGGAUGACGUCAAGUCCUCAUGGCCCUUACGGCCAGGGCUACACACGUACUACAAUGGUCGGUACAGAGGGUUGCGAAGCCGCGAGGUGGAGCCAAUCCCAGAAAGCCGAUCCCAGUCCGGAUCGGAGUCUGCAACUCGACUCCGUGAAGUCGGAAUCGCUAGUAAUCGCGAAUCAGCUAUGUCGCGGUGAAUACGUUCCCGGGUCUUGUACACACCG